This 550-nucleotide ribosomal RNA is filed under the name uncultured fungus. Its description in RNAcentral is "eukaryotic LSU rRNA". It matches the Rfam family "Eukaryotic large subunit ribosomal RNA", at positions 59 to 634 of the family's 3401-position model. The record is from RNAcentral. Lineage: Eukaryota; Fungi.
AAGAAACCAACAGGGAUCGCCCUAGUAACGGCGAGUGAAGCGGCAACAGCUCAAAUUUGAAAUCUGGCUUCGGCCCGAGUUGUAAUUUGCAGAGGAUGCUUCUGGCGCGGUGCCUUCCGAGUUCCCUGGAACGGGACGCCACAGAGGGUGAGAGCCCCGUAUGGUCGGACACCAAGCCUGUGUGAAGCUCCUUCGACGAGUCGAGUAGUUUGGGAAUGCUGCUCUAAAUGGGAGGUAAAUCUCUUCUAAAGCUAAAUACCGGCCAGAGACCGAUAGCGCACAAGUAGAGUGAUCGAAAGAUGAAAAGCACCUUGAAAAGGGGGUUAAAUAGUACGUGAAAUUGUUGAAAGGGAAGCACUUGUGACCAGACUUGGGCCGGGCGGCUCAUCAGGGGUUCUCCCCUGUGCACUCCGCCCGGCACAGGCCAGCAUCGGUUCUCGUGGGGGGAUAAGACCGUUAGGAACGUAGCACCCUCCGGGGUGUGUUAUAGCCUGGCGGACGAUACCCCCGUGGGGACCGAGGUUCGCGCUCCGCAAGGAUGCUGGCGUAA